GAAAUUUAAAUAAGACCUGGAAUCUUUUAUUAUCGUUUUUACUAUUGAGACACAUUCCCUGCCCCCCCCCCCCCGUAAAUUGAUCAGAAGUGAGGGUGUAGGCAUACAACUUUUUUCAUCUUUUGUUACUCACACUUCUUUUCUAAUUCAACGUCAAGGGUGGAGUCCACCAAUCUUUUUAUUUGCAGAUGAGCAACUAAAACUUAGUUAACUAAAUUCCAAUGCGUCUCUCUAGGGCAGACUGCAUUUACUGGAGUUUAAAGGCAGCCCCGAAUGUGUAGAUGAUAUUUAUUGCACGAGUCCAUAAGACAACACCUUCAAGUUGGUAGGUACAAACGAAAAAGGAAACCACAGUGGAGGAAAUCCUGUUCCAGGUUUUCGGGCGGCCCGUGUGAUUGACACAUGAUAUCACUGGAGGCGUGUCCUGCAGUGGAGGUGGAGGUGGAGGCUUGGAGCUGAAAUUGUGCGGAGCGGGACUCAGUUCGCUCUGUAAAGCACGCAAGGGUUUGCAGGGUGCAAGCCACAGACCGGGCUCCCUGCCCUGGAUCAGGAGCCGCUACAUCGCUGUACACGUGCCUGAAAAGCAAUUUGCAACCUUUGCGCUAGCAGGCAUUUGCGCUGUGGACGCGCGGGGUCGAGAGACUGAGAGGGAGCGCUGUCCCGGAGAAGCUGACCUGCCAGGAGCCGAGUUCCCGAGGACGCUGUGCCCCAACUUGCCCAGCGUGCGGCAUCGCGAAAGCGCCCCGGCCUGCGCGGGGACCAGGGACGCCGCCGCCCUCUGUUUCUCUCUGAGGAGGACCUCCCCGAAAAACAAACAAACAAAACC
This is a long non-coding RNA of Ochotona princeps (American pika), 826 nucleotides long. RefSeq lists it as uncharacterized. Lineage: Eukaryota; Metazoa; Chordata; Mammalia; Lagomorpha; Ochotonidae. The transcript has 2 exons. The record is from RefSeq and is a predicted model, not a curated record.